AAUGUAAACAUUCAACACCAACAGAGAAUCGUUUAAAUGCCAAAGCCUACCUGAGUCUUGAUGCUGACCACGUCCAUCCCUUUAUGACCACAGUUUACCCAUCAUCUAAUGAGUACUUCCAGCAUGAUAACAUGUCCACAGCUCAAAUCAUCUCAAACUAGUUUCUUGGGGAAUGAGUUCACUGUACUCAAAUGGCCUCCACAGUCACCAGAUC
Long non-coding RNA from Etheostoma cragini (Arkansas darter), 214 nucleotides. RefSeq lists it as uncharacterized. The transcript has 3 exons. NCBI's taxonomy places the organism in Eukaryota, Metazoa, Chordata, Actinopteri, Perciformes, Percidae. The record is from RefSeq and is a predicted model, not a curated record.